UACGAAGGGGGCUAGCGUUGUUCGGAAUUACUGGGCGUAAAGCGCACGUAGGCGGAUACUUAAGUCAGGGGUGAAAUCCCGGGGCUCAACCCCGGAACUGCCUUUGAUACUGGGUAUCUCGAGUCCGGAAGAGGUGAGUGGAAUUCCGAGUGUAGAGGUGAAAUUCGUAGAUAUUCGGAGAAACACCAGUGGCGAAGGCGGCUCACUGGUCCGGUACUGACGCUGAGACGCGAAAGCGUGGGGAGCGAACAGG
RNAcentral lists this ribosomal RNA (253 nucleotides) under uncultured bacterium. Its description in RNAcentral is "partial 16S ribosomal RNA". It matches the Rfam family "Bacterial small subunit ribosomal RNA", at positions 524 to 776 of the family's 1533-position model. The record is from RNAcentral.